AGUGAACGCUGGCGGUAGGCCUAACACAUGCAAGUCGAACGGCAGCACAGUAAGAGCUUGCUCUUACGGGUGGCGAGUGGCGGACGGGUGAGGAAUACAUCGGAAUCUACUUUUUCGUGGGGGAUAACGUAGGGAAACUUACGCUAAUACCGCAUACGACCUACGGUUGAAAGCAGGGGAUCUUCGGACCUUGCGCGAUUGAAUGAGCCGAUGUCGGAUUAGCUAGUUGGCGGGGUAAAGGCCCACCAAGGCGACGAUCCGUAGCUGGUCUGAGAGGAUGAUAAGCCACACUGGAACUGAGACACGGUCCAGACUCCUACGGGAGGCAGCAGUGGGGAAUAUUGGACAAUGGGCGCAAGCCUGAUCCAGCCAUACCGCGUGGGUGAAGAAGGCCUUCGGGUUGUAAAGCCCUUUUGUUGGGAAAGAAAAGCAGCAGGUUAAUACCCAGCUGUUCUGACGGUACCCAAAGAAUAAGCACCGGCUAACUUCGUG
This 492-nucleotide ribosomal RNA is filed under the name uncultured bacterium. Its description in RNAcentral is "partial 16S ribosomal RNA". It matches the Rfam family "Bacterial small subunit ribosomal RNA", at positions 29 to 507 of the family's 1533-position model. The record is from RNAcentral.